UAAGGAAUAUUGGUCAAUGGACGCAAGUCUGAACCAGCCAUGCCGCGUGAAGGAUGAAGGUCCUCUGGAUUGUAAACUUCUUUUAUCUGGGACGAAAACGGGAUUUUUAUCUCAAUUGACGGUACCAGAGGAAUAAGCACCGGCUAACUCCGUGCCAGCAGCCGCGGUAAUACGGAGGGUGCGAGCGUUAUCCGGAUUUACUGGGUUUAAAGGGUGCGUAGGUGGGCUUAUAAGUCAGUGGUGAAAUCUCCGAGCUUAACUUGGAAACUGCCGUUGAUACUAUAGGUCUUGAAUUAUCUGGAGGUCAGCGGAAUAUGUCAUGUGGCGGUGAAAUGCUUAGAUAUGACAUAGAACACCAAUUGCGAAGGCAGCUUACUACAUAUAAAUUGACGCUGAGGCACGAAGGCGUGGGGAUCAAACA
This 421-nucleotide ribosomal RNA is filed under the name uncultured bacterium. Its description in RNAcentral is "bacterial SSU rRNA". It matches the Rfam family "Bacterial small subunit ribosomal RNA", at positions 355 to 774 of the family's 1533-position model. The record is from RNAcentral.